UGGGGAAUAUUGCACAAUGGGCGCAAGCCUGAUGCAGCCAUGCCGCGUGUAUGAAGAAGGCCUUCGGGUUGUAAAGUACUUUCAGCGAGGAGGAAGGCGUUGUGGUUAAUAACCGCAGCGAUUGACGUUACUCGCAGAAGAAGCACCGGCGAACUCCGUGCCAGCAGCCGCGGUAAUACGGAGGGUGCAAGCGUUAAUCGGAAUUACUGGGUGUAAAGCGCACGCAGGCGGUCUGUCAAGUCGGAUGUGAAAUCCCCGGGCUCAACCUGGGAACUGCAUCCGAAACUGGCAGGCUAGAGUCUUGUAGAGGGGGGUAGAAUUCCAGGUGUAGCGGUGAAAUGCGUAGAGAUCUGGAGGAAUACCGGUGGCGAAGGCGGCCCCCUGGACAAAGACUGACGCUCAGGUGCGAAAGCGUGGGGAGCAAACA
This 427-nucleotide ribosomal RNA is filed under the name uncultured bacterium. Its description in RNAcentral is "partial 16S ribosomal RNA". It matches the Rfam family "Bacterial small subunit ribosomal RNA", at positions 355 to 774 of the family's 1533-position model. The record is from RNAcentral.